GGAAGUAAAAGUCGUAACAAGGUUUCCGUAGGUGAACCUGCGGAAGGAUCAUUAAAGAGUAAGGGUGCUCAGCGCCCGACCUCCAACCCUUUGUUGUUAAAACUACCUUGUUGCUUUGGCGGGACCGCUCGGUUCCGAGCCGCUGGGGAUUCGUCCCAGGCGAGUGCCCGCCAGAGUUAAACCAAACUCUUGUUAUUAAACCGGUCGUCUGAGUUAAAAUUUUGAAUAAAUCAAAACUUUCAACAACGGAUCUCUUGGUUCUCGCAUCGAUGAAGAACGCAGCGAAAUGCGAUAAGUAAUGUGAAUUGCAGAAUUCAGUGAAUCAUCGAAUCUUUGAACGCACAUUGCGCCCCUUGGUAUUCCGAGGGGCAUGCCUGUUCGAGCGUCAUUACACCACUCAAGCUAUGCUUGGUAUUGGGUGCCGUCCUUAGUUGGGCGCGCCUUAAAGACCUCGGCGAGGCCACUCCGGCUUUAGGCGUAGUAGAAUUUAUUCGAACGUCUGUCAAAGGAGAGGAACUCUGCCGAUUGAAACCUUUAUUUUUCUAGGUUGACCUCGGAUCAGGUAGGGAUACCCGCUGAACUUAAGCAUAUCAAUAAGCGGAGGA
RNAcentral lists this ribosomal RNA (605 nucleotides) under Pteris vittata (Chinese brake). RNAcentral's name for it is "eukaryotic LSU rRNA". The stretch from base 235 to 388 matches the Rfam family "5.8S ribosomal RNA". Lineage: Eukaryota; Viridiplantae; Streptophyta; Polypodiopsida; Polypodiales; Pteridaceae. The record is from RNAcentral.